UGGAGUCGCCUUUCACGGUAAAGAAAAAGGCAGCGGAGAAAGAAAAUGGGUGGAGAUUUGGUGUAAAAGAAGUGCAAAAACAGAGGCCGUGAAAGGAGAUCGGAAAGGCGCCGCUGUGAAAUGUCCUGCGCGCGCCGGCUGCUGCUCCGCUCCACAAACAGAGCCGGAUGGUCCCAAUGCCCGCGAUUGUACUGAUGCCACCGCCCAGUUAUUAAAUCGCUGUAGUUAACUAUACCCUGUAGAGUAGGGGACGGGACGCAGACAUUAGUUAGAGAGGGAGAACGGGAUGUCGGGCUGGCGCACAAACAGCGCGCGUACUUCCAAAUGCGUCCCCGCCUCCUUAUUUCACCGACUGCGUUCCUGGAAGGACCCAUUAAAGUGUGACACUCGUGUCCACGCGGGCUUUUGAGUCUGACGGGACGGGAUGCGCACGCGCGGCGUCCUGCGCCGGCUGCUGUUGUCACUCGCGCCGUACUGCAGACUCCGUCAUGGAGUACUUGGCGCACGCCAGUUGUUGUUCCUUCUACUUCAUUAACUAAGGACACCAUCCUGCUGCAUUCGUAACGUGCCAUUUCUGGAAAACAGAGGUUUUAUCCACAAACUCGGACAAAGCCUGAAGUGUGAAAGUCUAAUCCGACGUCCUUUAUAGCUUGUCGUGAACGCGACAAAAGAGCCACAAGAAAAGGUUUGGGGCCGCAACCCGUUUAUUAUUCCAGGCUGCAAAAAUGGAUAUUAAUGAGGCACAGAUAUGCACAGACUGGAGUCCACAACUGAACUGACUUGCUGGGACAAAGAUGGCGGCUUUGAGGGAGAGCAGAGGAAGUGACAUCAUCCAUAGGGCCGGAAAUGGGAAGUGGCAUCACUGGGGGGCUGUAAACAGGAAUUGACAUCAUCCAUGGGGCUGGAAACCGGAAGUGAUGUCAUCAGUAGGGGCAGGGCUGGAAGUGAUGUCAUUGGGCCCAGAGACCAGAAAGUGACAUCAGCAGUGGGGGUGGAAACUGAAAGUGGUGUCAUUGAGCCCGGGGCUGGAAGUGAUGUCAUCAGUAGGGGUGGGGCUAGAACUGAUGUCAUCGGGGCCAGGACUGGAAUUGACGUCAUCUGUGGGGCUGGAAACUGGAAGUGAUGUCAUUAAGGCCGGACCCGAAAGUGACAUCAUCAGGGCCAGGUGGCAUUUCC
This is a long non-coding RNA of Polypterus senegalus (gray bichir), 1176 nucleotides long. RefSeq lists it as uncharacterized. NCBI's taxonomy places the organism in Eukaryota, Metazoa, Chordata, Cladistia, Polypteriformes, Polypteridae. The record is from RefSeq and is a predicted model, not a curated record. The transcript is spliced from 3 exons.